UCGGAUAAGAGGCUGAAACUCGCCUCUUUGAAGUCGGAAUCGCUAGUAAUCGCAGAUCAGCAUGUUGCGGUGAAUACGUUCCCGGGUCUUGUACACACCGCCCGUCAAACCAUGAGAGUCACCAACACCCGAAGUCCGCCUUGGCGGCCUAAGGUGGGGGAGAUGAUUGGGGUUAAGUCGUAACAAGGUACC
RNAcentral lists this ribosomal RNA (192 nucleotides) under uncultured bacterium. RNAcentral describes it as "partial 16S ribosomal RNA". It matches the Rfam family "Bacterial small subunit ribosomal RNA", at positions 1293 to 1500 of the family's 1533-position model. The record is from RNAcentral.